GAUGAACGCUGGCGGCGUGCCUAAUACAUGCAAGUCGAGCGAACGGACGAGAAGUUUGCUUCUCUGAUGUUAGCGGCGGACGGGUGAGUAACACGUGGAUAACCUACCUAUAAGACUGGGAUAACUUCGGGAAACCGGAGCUAAUACCGGAUAAUAUUUUGAACCGCAUGGUUCAAAAGUGAAAGACGGUCUUGCUGUCACUUAUAGAUGGAUCCGCGCUGCAUUAGCUAGUUGGUAAGGUAACGGCUUACCAAGGCAACGAUGCAUAGCCGACCUGAGAGGGUGACCGGCCACACUGGAACUGAGACACGGUCCAGACUCCUACGGGAGGCAGCAGUAGGGAAUCUUCCGCAAUGGGCGAAAGCCUGACGGAGCAACGCCGCGUGAGUGAUGAAGGUCUUCGGAUCGUAAAACGCUGUUAUUAGGGAAGAACAUAUGUGUAAGUAACUGUGCACAUCUUGACGGUACCUAAUCAGAAAGCCACGGCUAACUACGUG
RNAcentral lists this ribosomal RNA (497 nucleotides) under uncultured bacterium. RNAcentral's name for it is "partial 16S ribosomal RNA". It matches the Rfam family "Bacterial small subunit ribosomal RNA", at positions 28 to 507 of the family's 1533-position model. The record is from RNAcentral.